RNAcentral lists this ribosomal RNA (301 nucleotides) under uncultured bacterium. RNAcentral describes it as "partial 16S ribosomal RNA". It matches the Rfam family "Bacterial small subunit ribosomal RNA", at positions 509 to 807 of the family's 1533-position model. The record is from RNAcentral.
CAGCAGCCACGGUAACACGUAGGGUGCGAGCGUUAAUCGGAAUUACUGGGCGUAAAGCGUGCGCAGGCGGUUUUGUAAGACAGGCGUGAAAUCCCCGGGCUCAACCUGGGAAUGGCGCUUGUGACUGCAAAGCUAGAGUGCGGCAGAGGGGGAUGGAAUUCCGCGUGUAGCAGUGAAAUGCGUAGAUAUGCGGAGGAACACCGAUGGCGAAGGCAAUCCCCUGGGCCUGCACUGACGCUCAUGCACGAAAGCGUGGGGAGCAAACAGGAUUAGAUACCCCCGUAGUCCCUGUCUCUUAUAC